AAAAACUUGUCGGGGUGCCCGUUUGCAUUUUCAAAUGUGGCUGAGAUGAAACCCGUUGAACCUGAAGAGGUUAAGACCUCCGUAGGAAACAAGCCGGUAUUUUCG
This 105-nucleotide non-coding RNA is filed under the name Methylophaga frappieri. Its description in RNAcentral is "TPP sequence". It matches the Rfam family "TPP riboswitch aptamer (THI element)". Rfam says of the family: Vitamin B(1) in its active form thiamin pyrophosphate (TPP) is an essential coenzyme that is synthesised by coupling of pyrimidine and thiazole moieties in bacteria. The previously detected thiamin-regulatory element, thi box was extended, resulting in a new, highly conserved RNA secondary structure, the THI element, which is widely distributed in eubacteria and also occurs in some archaea. Lineage: Bacteria; Pseudomonadati; Pseudomonadota; Gammaproteobacteria; Thiotrichales; Piscirickettsiaceae. The record is from Rfam by way of RNAcentral.